UUGUAGCACUAUAUAUAUAUAUAUAUAGACUUUUUAGAUUAAAUAUUUGAGUUGUUAAUUGGGUUUGUAGAUUACUCACUCUUUGAUCUUAAUUUUCUGCUUCAGUUUAUCAUCUCCUCCAUGCUCUAUAUCUGUUUGUUGUCUUUUGGAUAUUUUUGGUCUGGAUCUGGAGUCUGAACAGUAGUGGAAGUGGUGGACCUAGUGACAGUGAACAUGAGCUACUGUUUAUUUCAUUAUCAUUGACUCUGAGGACUGAGGACUACUGAUGAGGCCGACACAGUAUACACCUACAGGGGGCUGCGGAGGACGACGAUGACAACCGCAACCACCACCACAACCACAAUGAACAAAUGAAUGAAUCUAAAAGAUCUCAGAUUCAAGAAUCAGGAUCAGAAUGGUGUUUGAUCCAGCUCUUCUGAUCUUUGCACAGAAAAACCCUAGAUGUCAAGAAUAUUAUACUGAUUCUAAUCUGAUCUCCAUAUCCUGAUUCCAUGUUUUGAAUCCUUGGUGAGAAAGGAAGGAUGUUGAUCUUUGUAUUUAUCACAGAUUGUAAUUCAUAUUCAUCUAAAUGAAACCUUUAUUGUAUUUAUUGUAA
This is a long non-coding RNA of Macadamia integrifolia, 595 nucleotides long. RefSeq lists it as uncharacterized. The record is from RefSeq and is a predicted model, not a curated record. The transcript is spliced from 2 exons. Lineage: Eukaryota; Viridiplantae; Streptophyta; Magnoliopsida; Proteales; Proteaceae.